This 462-nucleotide ribosomal RNA is filed under the name uncultured bacterium. RNAcentral's name for it is "bacterial SSU rRNA". It matches the Rfam family "Bacterial small subunit ribosomal RNA", at positions 28 to 492 of the family's 1533-position model. The record is from RNAcentral.
GAUGAACGCUGGCGGCGUGCUUAACACAUGCAAGUCGAACGAAGCGAUUUAACGGAAGUUUUCGGAUGGAAGAUAAAUUGACUGAGUGGCGGACGGGUGAGUAACGCGUGGGUAACCUGCCUCAUACAGGGGGAUAACAGUUAGAAAUGACUGCUAAUACCGCAUAAGCGCACAGUACUGCAUGGUACAGUGUGAAAAAACUCCGGUGGUAUGAGAUGGACCCGCGUCUGAUUAGCUAGUUGGUGGGGUAACGGCCUACCAAGGCGACGAUCAGUAGCCGACCUGAGAGGGUGACCGGCACAUUGGGACUGAGACACGGCCCAAAACUCCUACGGGAGCAGCAGUGGGGAAUAUUGCACAAUGGCGAAAGCCUGAUGCAGCGACGCCGCGUGAGCGAAGAAGUAUUUCGGUAUGUAAAGCUCUAUCAGCAGGAGAAAAAUGACGGUACCUGACUAAGAAGCA